AAUCAAUUCGCUUCCUGGUUGCGGCUUCAGAAUAUUUUUUGAAUGCAGUCUACGGAUGAAAAGUUGGAAUUUAUAGUUGAAGUAUGAAUCGUGAGGAUUUAGAUGAUACAUAUGAUCUUCUGUCUCCAGUACGUAGGGGAGAAGGUGCGUACUCCGACUCAUUUGAAAGUUCUGACAACGAAUCUAGUCCACAAUUUCGAUCGUCAGUAAGUUUUAAAUCACCUUCCAACUCAUUCAAGUCAUCAUCAUUCACAGCAUCUUCGAAGAUUCCACCACCUAAGUAUGCAUCAACUACGAGAUAUCAACAAGACAAACCCAAAAAUCUUGUCCCGUCGUCAGCGCCAGGCCCUCAUCUUCUCCACCGAAAACGGAACGAAGAAUUCGACGAACUUCGCCAUUGAAGGAUCGUAAUUCUCAUGACAACACUAUUGAAUUAAUGAAAAUGCCACAAGAUGGUGACAAAAAAGAUUUGAGUGUUUGGGAAGAUUGGUUGAUCAAAAAGUUCCAACAGGAGAGAGAAGACAUAAAAAUACAGAGACAAGUUGAAAAAGAAGAAAAAGAAAGAGAGGAAAGAAAGAAUGGAAAAGGAAGAUUUAAAGAAAAGAGCUGAAUUAAACAUCAGCAGUGGUGUGAAGAAAAGUUAUUGAAGAUGAAGUUGCAGACGAAAAUUGAGAAGCGUGAACAAAUGUUGAAGGAAGAAAUGAAAAUACAAGAAAAACGAGAAAUUGAGAGAAAAUCGAAACAAGCGUACGAGAGAUGGGUGGAAAAGAGAAAUGAAAUUGAAAAAGAGCAAAAAGAGAAGGUAAG
Molecule: non-coding RNA, 807 nt
Organism: Styela clava
Lineage: Eukaryota; Metazoa; Chordata; Ascidiacea; Stolidobranchia; Styelidae
Source: RefSeq, a predicted model, not a curated record